RNAcentral lists this ribosomal RNA (1498 nucleotides) under Candidatus Falkowiibacteriota bacterium. RNAcentral's name for it is "bacterial SSU rRNA". It matches the Rfam family "Bacterial small subunit ribosomal RNA". The record is from RNAcentral. Lineage: Bacteria; Candidatus Falkowiibacteriota.
UUAUUUGAGAGUUUGAUCCUAGCUCAGGAUGAACGCUGGCGGCGUGUUUAAGGCAUGCAAGUCGAACGGUCAAUUUUUUCGCAAGAUUAGAUUGACAGUGGCAAACGGGUGAGUAACACAUUGGUAACCUGCCUCGAAGACGUGAAUAACCCCGCGAAAGCGGGGCUAAUACACGAUAAUAAUGAGUGGCAUAAGUCAUUCAUUUAAAGUUCAGGCGCUUCGAGAGGGGCCUAUGGCUUAUCAGCUAGUUGGUGAGGUAAUAGCUCACCAAGGCUAUGACGAGUAGCGGGUGUGAGAGCAUGACCCGCCUCACUGGGACUGAGACACUGCCCAGACUCCUACGGGAGGCUGCAGUCAAGAAUCUUCCACAAUGCCCGCAAGGGUGAUGGAGCGACGCCGCGUGACCGAUGAAGCCCUUCGGGGUGUAAAGGUCUUUUACCAGGGACGAACAAAUGACGGUACCUGGCGAAUAAGAGGUUGCUAACUCUGUGCCAGCAGCAGCGGUAAUACAGAGACCUCAAGCGUUAUCCGGAUUCAUUGGGCGUAAAGCGUGCGCAGGCGGCUUUUUAAGUUAGCGGUUAAAGCUCGAAGCUCAACUUCGAUUUCGCCGCUAAAACUAGAAAGCUAGAGAAUGGGAGAGGCAAGCGGAAUUGCCGGUGUAGGGGUAAAAUCCGUUGAUAUCGGCAAGAACACCAAAUGCAAAGGCAGCUUGCUAGAACAUUUCUGACGCUGUUGCACGAAAGCGUGGGGAGCAAAGAGGAUUAGAUACCCUCGUAGUCCACGCUGUAAACGAUGGAUACUAGGCAUUGGGAGUAUCGACCCUUCCAGUGUCGCUAUAACUAAGCUAACGCGUUAAGUAUCCCGCCUGGGAAGUACGGUCGCAAGACUAAAACUCAAAGGAAUUGACGGGGACCCGCACAAGCGGUGGAUCAUGCGGUUUAAUUCGAUAACAAGCGAGGAACCUCACCAAGGCUUGACAUCCUCAGAAUCCCGGGUAAUGCUGGGAGUGCCGCAAGGAACUGAGAGACAGGUGCUGCAUGGUUGUCGUCAGCUCGUGUCGUGAGAUGUACGGUUAAGUCCGGUAACGAGCGCAACCCUCGUUCUAUGUUAAUUUUUCAUAGAAGACUGCCAGCUUUAAGCUGGAGGAAGGUGGGGAUGACGUCAAAUCAGCAUGGCCCUUAUGCCUUGGGCUACACGCAUGAUACAAUGGCCAGUACAAUGGGACGCAAAGUCGUAAGACGAAGCAAAUCCCAUCAAAACUGGUCUCAGUUCGGAUUGAGGUCUGCAACCCGACCUCAUGAAGUUGGAAUCGCUAGUAAACGCGUAUCAGCCACGGCGCGUUGAAUACGUUCUCGGGUCUUGUACACACCGCCCGUCACACCAAGGGAGCCGGUAGUACCCGAAUAUCGCUGUAGGGCGGUAGAAGGUAAGGCCGGUGACAGGGGUGAAGUCGUAACAAGGCAUCCGUAGCGGAAGCUGCGGAUGGACCAUCUCCUUU